UUGUUUUUUUCUGUUUCUUGACAGACUUACAUUUUCAAAAGCAUAUUUGUGGAGCUGCAUCAGGGAUGUAUAAAGAUGUAAAAGAAGAUCAUAUCGCUUUAAUCUUCCUGUAUCUUAAUAAUCACCCAUACCUCUUUCAUUAAUUCUGUUAUUACAGUCACAUAGCCACAGGAAUGCCAUUGGCCUGUUUGCAUCAAUCAGGGCCCUUCCUGCCAUGUAAAGCCUCCAGCUGGCAGAGGUUAAAAUUGAAGUGAUGAACAUUACCAAAUGAAGUUUCCAUCCCGAGACUGAAACAGCUAGUUAACUGUUAAUCAGCAGGUUAAGAUGAGAAGCUUCACACCAAUGUCUGGCCAUGACUGCGAAUAUUUUACAUACUGAGUUUUGUUCUUAAAGCACUGUACGCUCCUUCAUUAGACACCGAAUGACUGUCUUCCUGUCAUCUCGAAAUUCACUUCUUUCAGAUAUUGUUAAGUGAUAAUUUAGUUGAGCUUGUCUGUUGACUUUACAUAUACAGCUUGAUCACUGUUCCCUCUAAGCUGUGCGUGUGCGCAAUUGCGCACUGCUGACACGGUCUCCGCGCACAGAAAAUCUGCGCUGCGCACAAAAAAAAAAAAAAAAUCCAACCUAAAUUGUAAAUAAAAUAAACACGUAACAAUUCAUUCUGUUCUAUUUUUCAAUGUGAGUCAGUGAGUGACCGGUGACUGGCUGCUGCAGCCAAUGAUGCGAUUCACAUACGUAUUUACCAUAGACUGUAUAUAAUGGUAUUUACGCAGCUAAUCAACGUUAGUGGUGUAAACAAUGGCAAACUUCUUUUUCUCUAGUUUAGUACCAGAGUAGACCAGGUAGACGUGUGUUUGAGCUACACUGCCCCCUGCAGUUUGGAAGCAGACUUCUUCUUCUCUAGUUUAUUACUGGAGUAGACCAGGUAGACGUGUGUUUGAGAUACACUGCCCCCUGCAGUUUGGGAGCAGAUGCGCACGGAGUAUAAAUGCACACACGUUCUUUCGCACGGAUUUCCGUGCGGCUGAUUUCCGCCCGGCUCGUUCGUGCGGAAAGUAUAUUCCAGCCUUUAGGCGCCCUUAUGUGCAGCCACCGUUGUUCUCAUAGAUAUGAAUGAGUAGAUAGGACACGCCCCUUUGAGCUGCGUGCUACAGCGAGGCUAAGCUAGUGGGGGCAAAGUUUCAGUGCAUUCCGUUGAUGUAGGCGGCGUGAAAACGGAAACAACAAGUAUGCCGGCUCACUGUGCUGCAUACAAUUACACACUACGUCAUAGGAUUGAGACAAGGAAACUUGGAAUGACUUUUCAUAGGUUUCCCAGAGACUAUGGGUUGAGGAGGAAGUGAAAGUUUGUCGGCUUAGACCUGGUGUCAUUCCAUCAGUGUUAAACUUCCCGGCUCAUCUUGGAAGAGUACGUGCCAGAAAGACCACGACCAAGCAGCCUUGAGAUCUUAGACAGCGUCUCCCUGAGGUCCCUCUCUAUCUCCCCACACAUCCACCAACCACUGGAACACAUCUCCAAAGUUCUGCCGGGCCAGCUCAGCUUCCCCUCAGAAGAAGUGCUGCCACCUGCCAGAUGAAGGAGCCUUUUGAGAGGCAGCUGGCAUCGUGAUUGGACUGUACUUUGGUCUGUUCCAAUCCAGCUUCAGCUCCAGAGACGGCAGGCGGGACGAGUCAACGGAGGCCGGGUGGACGAAGGCAUGCAGUGCAGCUGAGUACAAUCCAGAAAACAACAGAGGAGGAGUGCAGCGGCGCAGGGCCAGAACAAGCAGAGUAGCAUCGUAUGUCUCUUAGAAAACAUCAUAGUAUCGCCUUUGGUAUGAAAAAACGCCAUCAUAUACAUCGUAUAUUGUACAAAUAACAAGUCAAAGCAAAGCGACAUACAUUGUAGAAUUGUAGUAAUUGUGGGCUGACUGAUUUACUGAUUAUCAGCAUUUUAUUUUUACUGAUUUACGUUAAUAAAUACAUUUAAAAAUGGUG
Amphiprion ocellaris (clown anemonefish) is the source of this 1977-nucleotide long non-coding RNA. RefSeq lists it as uncharacterized. The transcript is spliced from 3 exons. The record is from RefSeq and is a predicted model, not a curated record. Lineage: Eukaryota; Metazoa; Chordata; Actinopteri; Pomacentridae.